Molecule: ribosomal RNA, 253 nt
Filed under: uncultured bacterium
Lineage: Bacteria
Description: partial 16S ribosomal RNA
Rfam family: Bacterial small subunit ribosomal RNA
Source: RNAcentral
UACAGAGGUCUCAAGCGUUGUUCGGAUUCAUUGGGCGUAAAGGGUGUGUAGGUGGCGCGCUAAGUCGGGUGUGAAAUUUCGGAGCUUAACUCCGAAACUGCAUUCGAUACUGGCGUGCUUGAGGACUGGAGAGGAGACUGGAAUUCAUGGUGUAGCAGUGAAAUGCGUAGAUAUCAGGAGGAACACCGGUGGCGAAGGCGGCUACCUGGACAGAAACUGACGCUGAGGCGCGAAAGCUAGGGGAGCAAACAGG